GGCCACAAAGACGAGGAAACGAUUUUUUUUCAAUUAUACACACACACGAAGAACACAUACUGAUCACGAAGAAUGGUUCUAUACAAAAGAAUCUCCCAAAAAAUAUAAAUCUCGCGCAGGAGGAGUGCUCUAUCAUUUGGCUGCCUUCCUCUUUUGGUACUGAUCCUUGAUCCAGUGAAUUCCAGUGGAGGUGCCUGCCUUGAUCUUGUUCGCGCUAGCAGCAGCCACGAUCUUAGCCUUGUCCACUCCCUGGCUCGCCGCCGCCUUGAUCUUAGCGCCCUUGUUUGACGACGAUUCCUUGCUCCUGCUCUUGUCCAUCUUCAUUUGCUCCGCUCGCUCCUUGUCGUUCAUCUUGUAGUCCCACUGAUCCGCCCAGCUCAGCCCAUUCGAUUCCAUCCUCUCUCGAUCGAAGAAUUCCCUCAAAGCCUCGGAGGCCCAAAAACCGAUCUUUUAGAGCACCGCGCCUCGCUGAGGUUCUUGCUUGCUUCGCUGCCGACUUUCUAGAAAGAUAAACCGAGUGAAAAGCUUAGACCGAGUUAAGAUGAGAAGAUACUAUUAAAUAUAAUGGAAGGUUACGUGUGCCAUCUGGAAGACUGGCACGGGUAAGUUUGCUUUGCGUGAAAAAGACUGCUUUCUGGAAAUUUCGAUCAGUGUUUCUUUGUUUCAUCGAUGGAAUCUGUGGACGUCGCAAUAAUCGGAGCGGGGCUGUGCGGGUUGGCACUCGCGAUUGGCCUGCAAAACAGAGGAAUCACUGCUCACUUGUUUGAAAAGAGUGAUGGCAUUCGAGCGGAUACUGCUACAGGGAUAAGUAUUGGAAAGAAUGGUACCUUGUUUUUUUAUCUUCCAUUAUUUCGAUCUGUAAGACUCUUCGCAGGAGGGCGAGCUCUGGACGGAAUCCAGCCGGGGCUGGAGGAGGCCAUGAAAUCUGCAGGAACGCAGAUAAAGAGCUUUAGAAUUCUUGACAUUACUGGAGGCGAGAAGCAGGAGAUUGAGAUGAAGGAAGGAGAAAUCCCGGCGGUGUUUAUGGUACCUUGGAGAAAAGCACGAAAGAUGUUGGCUGACAUGGUUCCCAGUUCUAACAUUCACUGCUCGCACAAACUCGUCUCCUACAGUGCUGCAAAAGAUAAGGCAAGGAAGUGAAUGAGAGACAGCAUAAAAAUCAUACAACUGACUUGCACAGGAUGGAGUCGAGUUGGAGUUUGAAGUUCGAGAUGAUCAAGGCCGGACUUCUCGCAAGACAAUCCAUGCCAACUUGGUGAUUGGAACAGACGGAGUCCACUCCGCUGUGAGGAAGAUCAUGGUGGGAGAUAAACCCAGGGACUUGCACCUGAUGAACUGGAACGCUCUCGUCUACAAUCCCGAUUCCAAGUAAGUCAAUUUACCGGCAACAGUAGAGCUUACCUUGGACAUACGACCAGGUUCUUCAAGGUCCACGAGAAGGAUCAGAUUUUCAUGAUCAAGGACAACGCAACAUUCGUUCAUCUCGCGGACUCAGGUAACUGGCUCUCUGCGAAAACACUAAAGUUUAGAGGAGAAGAUACAAGUGGAUCAUGCGUAUUUACUUACAGGCGAAGGCUAUACCUUGUGGGUGGUCCGGAUGUACAACGAAGACAUCCCGAUUGGUGGUGCAUUUGGAGGGCCUCCUGCCAAAGAACGAGCUCUCAAAGAAAUCCGAAAGUUGGAGCCACCGGAAGUCUGGGAGCCACUGAGAAUCGCCGUGGAAGCGACGAGUCCGGAGCUGAUUUACGAGCGGAGGAUCAUCGACAAUCCACCACUCGAGUCUUGGAGCGAUCUUGACGGGCGCGUUCUUCUCAUUGGAGACGGUCAGUCACUCGGCUUCUUAGAAAGCUUGUCGAGAAACUUUUGUUUUCUUCUUCUUCUCCUUUCCAGCGGCUCAUGCGAUGCAUUGGGGUCCCGGACAAGGCGCUAGAACAGCGUUUGAAGACGCACACCAGCUAUCAGAGCUCCUGGCAGCAGCAAUAGCAACCGGUGAGGAAAGAAAGAGAGCCAUUGCAAGGUAAGGAAGGGUUUUCUCUCAUUCAUACCUCUGGAGCUGAUCGAUCGAUCCCCGCUACGCAGGUUUGAGGAGCUGAGAAUCCCUCGCAUGACGAGAUUCCAGGCAUUCGCGGCCGAGGGCACCGAGCUGCCCGAAUUCGUCAAGGAGGAUGUCCAAACUCUCCCAGAGAGCGAGCGGCGCAAGCGUAGAUAUGAAUUCCAGGCCUGGGCCGAUAGCUACCCGGAGAAAAUGGCCGGAGAUCCCGACUCCACUUACUUCAAGCCGCUGUGAAACCAUCGCCCUGGCCUCCUGGCUUAGCCUAAAUGUGAAUUAAAUGUUAGGGUUUAAUCGGAGCUAGGGUUUUUCGUCUUCCGCCCGGGUGGAGGAGGACGGGGGAGCGCGAUGAUCCCGAUCAACAACUUCGAGCAGCAUGCCAGCAAGUUCCUGGACCCAGAUUUGUGUACGCGCAUCCGUUUUCUCUUGGAUUUUCUCUUGAUUCGUGGAAAUUUUCAGCGAUGCAGCAGCGGCAUCAGCUCGCCACCGAGGUCCGGGACAGCAUCGAGAUCGUCCAGACAUCCGAGUACCUCAAUUUCCUCAAGAACUACUUCCGGGUCUUCUCGUCGCUGCUUCUCAGCACCACCAAGCCCCAGACCAGCGAUUCCAUCGAGCACAAGCUCCGGUUUGUGAUUAUCGAGAUUCUCAACCGGCUGCCGCACAGUGAGGUCAUCCGGCCCUUCGUCUCCGAUCUCUUGAAGCUGUCGAUGCAAGUUCUCGGCACGGACAACGAAGAGAAUGGGCUCAUUUGUAUGCGCAUCAUCUUUGAUCUCCACAAGAACUUCCGCCCGGCGCUGGAGGCGGACGUGCAGCCUUUCCUCGAUUUCGUUUGCAAGGUAUGCGGAGAGAUUUUUUUCUUCGUCAAAGAGUUUCUUUGGCUGGUUUUGUUUGCCAGGUUUACCAAAACUUCAAGAGCACCGUAAGCUACUUCUUUGAAGAGACCAACAGUGAUGUCCAAAUUGCUGCUGCUGCCGCUGCCGCCGCCGCCGCGGCUGCUCCACAGAACGUUGGCUUUGUGGGAUCUCAAAGGGGAAGUAUCUCCGGGCAACUGAAUCCAAGUACGCGAUCGUUUAAAAUACUUUCGGAGUGCCCGCUCAUCGUCAUGUACCUCUUCCAAAUCUAUCCGCGAUAUGUUCCGAGCAACAUUCCUGUUCUUCUUCCGCUCAUGGUUAAUGCCAUCGCAGUGCCAGGACCAGCACCACACCAGGUUCAUCCGACGAUGAAGGGUCACUUUGUGGACCUUAAAGCGGGUCAAGUGAAGGUAUGUAUUUCUUGUGAAUUUUUUUUAUGGGGGUUAAGUGCUUGUUUUUCUCUUGGCAGACAGUAUCUUUUUUGUGCUACUUGCUGAAGAGCUUUGCCGAGUUUAUCCGUCCACAUGAAGAGAGUAUGUCUAGAAGUAUUGUGAACUUGUUAAUCUCGUGUCCUGACUCAGUCACCAUCCGAAAGGUCUGGUCUAUCAAAAAUUUUACACCCCCAUUGUUGUAUCUCACUAUCUUACGCUGCUUACAGGAACUUCUAAUCGCUACGCGUCAUGUUUUGGCCACUGAUUUUCAAAGAGGGUUGUUUCCUCUGAUGGACAAGCUAUUAGAUGAAAGGUCUGCACAUUCAUGAUUAUUCUUCGCAUAACACGGGUCGUGCAUUUAGAGUUCUUGUAGGAACAGGUCGAGCAUGCUUUGAGGGACUUCGGCCUUUGGCGUACAGUAUACUAGCCGAACUCAUUCACCACGUUAGACUCGAACUGACACUUAAACAGGUUGGUGUGGAAAGCCUUUGCGUCUUUGUUUUCAUCGUCUGUGUUUUUCUACAGCUUUCUUUGAUUGUAUAUAUGUUUUCAAGAAAUGUGCACGACCCUUCCUUACCGCUAGGUGUACAAACCACCUGCGUUCGUCUUAUGCUUAACCUGGUAAGUCGAAUGGAUGAGUUUUCUUUAUCCUCUUUGAUCUGGUUUUUAAAAAUACUCAGGUUGAGACCAUAUACAGUCGUCGUGGUGACCCAAGCAAAGAAGAUGGCAGAAAACUACUGGUAACAUUCUAAAUGUCAGUUUGGUAUUGAACCGCAUGUUACAGGGACGGAUUCUGGAUGCCUUUGUGAGUAAAUUCUCAACACUCAAACGUUAUGCUUCACAGGUGACGAUCAAGUGUAUAUUACGGAAGAUACUUAUAUUGGAUUCUGUGUGUAGCUUGAACGUAACGAUUUCAGUACCAGAACCAAGCUAGAGCUUCCUGUUCAGGUGGUAUCUUUCCGCAUUAGCUCAUCUAACGUGGUGCUUCUUUUUGAACAGGCUGCGUUGAAUCUUCAAACGCCUCAAGAACAUGCGAAAGAUUUUGCGGACUGCAAACAGCUUAUCAAAACAUUAAUAAUGGGUAUUACAAGGGUUUUUAAUUCUUGGAUGUCAUUCUUAUUUGUUACAGGAAUGAAAACUCUAAUAUGGAGCAUCACAAAUUUCACAGCCACUCAAGUGUCGAUGCAGCAGCCUCAAGGUGCAGUUGUCAACGCAGGCGGGCCCAAAGGCAUGCGAGAGGACGAGGUUAGCAUCCAAUUUUACAUUCCAUUCUUUGAAUUUGGUUCGUACAGGUUCUAGCCGCUUCGGGGAUCCUUACAACUGGAGUGUUUUGCUUAUCUCUUUACAAAGACAAAGAAGAGGAGAAGGAUAUGUUCACGCACUACACAUCCGUUUUUGGAGUGAUGGAACCCCGGAAUCUCAUGGACCUGUUUUCAAGAUGUAUGCCACGGUUAUUUGAGUACACUCUGGCCAACAACCAGCUCCUUCAGAUAUUCUCAAACCUGCUACAGAACCAGAAGUUGACACGACAUUUUGCGGACGUGUUGAUACAGUUUCUUAUGGGAAAGCUCGAUACUUUAAAGCAGCCGGAUACUCCCCAGGCCAAGCUCGUGCUGCAGCUAUUCAGAUAUCUGUUUGUUGCGGUCGCGAAGUAUCCAAACGACUGCGAGAGGGUUUUACAGCCUCACGUCCUCACCCUUAUGGAAGUAUGCAUGAAGAAUGCUACGGAAGUGGACAAGCCGUUGGGAUAUAUGCAGCUCAUGCGAAUUAUGUUUCGCGCUUUAUCAGGUGGAAAGUUCGAGCUCUUAUUUCGGGAGUUCGUUGCUACGUUACAACCGUGUCUCAAUAUGCUACUGGCUAUGAUUGAAGGACCCACAGGCAUGGAUAUGACUGAUCUUAUAGUGGAGUUGUGCCUGACUAUGCCGGCCCGGUUAAGCUCGCUUCUGCCACACUUACCACGUCUUAUGAAACCUCUGGUACUUGCUUUGAAGGGGAAUGACGACCUUGUUGCGUUGGGUUUCAGAACACUGGAGUACUGGAUUGACAGCCUGAAUCCGGAGUUUCUGGAGCCGAGCAUGGCCAAUGCGAUACCCGACUUGAUACUCACGCUGUGGUCACACCUCCGGCCUAAACCAUACAUAUGGGGUGCCAAGGCGUUGCAGUUACUUGGGAAGCUCGGCGGAAGAAACAGGAGGUUUUUGAAGGAGCCUUUGGCACUAGAAUGCAAGGAAAACCCGGAGCAUGGACUUCGACUGAUUCUGACGUUCGAGCCGAACACUUCGUUUCUUGUGCCUUUGGACCGGUGCAUUUAUUUGGCAAGAGCAGCCGUGAUGCAGUCACACGGCGUGGACACCUUCUAUCGGAAGCAUGCUUUGAAUUUCUUGCGAGUCUGCUUAUCAUCGGUAUUGAAUCUCAAAGGAAAUAUUGGUAAAGAAGGAGUUACGCCAGGCCAGCUUAGUACAAUGCUCAUGACAUCCGUUGAUCCAUCAAAGCGAAGAGCUGAAGUCUCAAAUAUGAAGGUACUUUUGUGUAGAGUUUUAGAAAUUUUUAUUCAAGUUGCAUUUGUGUACAGGUCGAUCUCGGCGUUAAAACAAAAACUCAAUUGGUCGCUGAAAGAAGUAUAUUUAAAGUUCUUCUGACAACAGUUAUAGCCUCUAGCGUGGAGAACGAUCUUCAAGAUCCGAAAGACGACUAUGUGCCAAAUAUCUGCCGCCACUUUGCAAUGCUUUUCCACGUCGAAUCUUGCUCGGGAAAUGCUGCUGCCUCGUCGAGCCAAACGUCGGGGGACUUGCCAACAAAAUCGCGGAGUCAUUCGAGCUUGAAAGAACUGGAUCCUCUCAUAUUCCUGGACGCUCUGGUAGCUGUUCUGAUGGACGAGAACAGACAACAUGCCAAGGCCGCUCUUCAGGGCUUAAACGUCUUUGCGGAGGCGCUUCUCAUCUUUGCGAGGGCGAAACACACUGGCGUGCUGAUUCCGAAGGGUGUAAGCACUCCUGGAACGCCGAUGAUGGUCUCAAGCCCGUCAAUGAACCCGGUUUAUUCGCCUCCACCGGGUGUACGAGUUCCUGUAUUUGAGCAGCUGCUACCAAGAUUGUUACAUUGCUGCUACGGGAGUACAUGGCAAGCUCAAAUGGGCGGGGUAAUGGGACUUGGUGCUUUGGUGGGAAAGGUUACAGUCGACACUCUUUGCAUCUUCCAAGUUCGUGCUGUGCGUGCUCUGGUGUACGUACUAAAGAAGCUACCGCAGCAUGCAAGUAAGGAACAGGAUGAAGUAAGCCAAGUGCUGACGCAGGUGCUGCGGGUGGUGAACAACGUAGACGAGGCAAACAAUGAGCCUCGGCGUCAAAGCUUUCAGGGUGUUGUGGACGUCCUGGCCGCGGAACUCUUUAAUCCCAACGCGACACAUACUGUCCGAAAGAGUGUCCAGCAGUGCCUUGCACUUCUGGCCAGCAGGACAGGGAGUGAAGUUUCGGAGCUGCUUGAACCGCUACAUCAGCCACUGCUUCAACCUCUGAUUUCUCGACCUCUUCGCACAAAGCACGUUGAACAACAGGUACUCAGAGGACGUGUCUCUGUGAAUUCUCUUAUAGACACCCGUUUUGCAGGUCGGAACUGUGAUGGCUUUAAACUUCUGCCUGGCCUUGCGGCCGCCUCUUCUUAAAAUGACUCCGGAACUUGUCACACUCUUGACGGACGCUCUUCAAAUUGCGGAAGCUGACGAAGCUGUACUGAUUGGAAAGUUCAUGAGUCCGAAAAUGGCAAACACCCUGACCAAGCUUCGAACAGUUUGCAUUGAGUUGCUAUGCACUGCUAUGGCCUGGGCGGAUUUCAAAACUGCAGCUCAUAAUGAGCUGCGGUCACGGAUCAUAGCUAUGUUCUUCAAAUCUCUGACCUGUAGAACACCAGAGAUAGUUGCAGUAGCCAAGGAAGGUCUUCGUCAGGUAAUACGUCUUCUCUCUCUUCGCAUCGUAUUCAUGACAUUUUGUAAUAUUUCAGGUUAUUCAGCAACAAAAACUGCCAAAGGAGCUCUUGCAAAGUAGCCUGCGACCGAUUCUUGUGAAUCUGGCAUCGUAUAAGCAUCUGACGAUUCCCUUGCUUCAAGGGCUUGCUCGACUGUUGGAGCUGCUUUCUAAUUGGUUCAACGUGACACUCGGUGGCAAACUCAUGGAACACCUGAAGAAGUGGCUAGAGCCGGAAAAGCUUGCUGGAACAGUAAAGUCCUGGAAGCCCGGGGAGGAAGCGAAGGUCGCUGCGGGUAUGUCUUUGUAUCGGUGUUGUGGAAGUUCUAACUUUCCUCGUGUGUUUCAGCCAUAAUAGAGCUGUUUCAUCUGCUUCCUCCGGCCGCCAACAAGUUUCUUGAUGAGCUUUUUCAACUAACCAUACAUUUGGAGGCGGCAUUCCCUCCAGGGCAAGUGUACAGUGAGUUGAAUAGCCCAUACAGGCUACCUAUCACAAGGUUUUUGAACCGCUAUGCGACAGAAUCAGUAGAUUACUUUCUGGCACGCCUUUCGGAGCCAGCUUAUUUUAGAAGGUAAGGUUGUCCUGAUAUUCGUGUCCUCGCUGAUACUUGUUUGUCAGAUUUUCGGACGUUAUAAAGUCAGAUGAGGGGCAACCCCUUCGUGAGGAGUUGGCGAAGUCACCGGGCAAGAUCAUCGAGUGUGCUUUUACUGUAGUUCAACCAUCAACCGAAGAAGCAGAUCCAGGUUCAACAGCUAGUGGUGCUGACGGAUCGGUACCUCCGCCGCCUUCUACGACGUCAGAGUCCCUGUUUCAAGGUGUUGCCUUGGUAGCUACUUUGGUCAAGCUCAUACCGGACUGGCUGCACGAAAAUCAGACCGUGUUUGAAGCUUUAGUUCGGCUGUGGCAAUCGCCCGCAAGGCAGGAACGACUAAAGAACGAGCUAAAUUUGACUCUGGUGCAAGUGAGUAGCUUUUCUUUGCAUCUAUACUGCUAACACACGUACGUUGUAGGUGAAGGAGAGCAAGCGUCUAGUCAAAUGCUUUCUGAAUUAUGUGAGACACGAUAAAGCGGAGGUUGAUAUUCUUUUCGAAAUGCUGUCCAUAUUUUUGGUCCGAACUCGUGUUGAUUAUACCUUCUUGAAAGAAUUCUACAUGAUCGAGGUGAGGUUUUUAACUUGAUAUGUUCUUCUCAAAUUCUUUUCAUCAGGUCGGUGAAGGAUAUACACCCCAGGAGAAAAAAGCUGUUCUGCAACGUUUUCUUCAAAUAUUCCAGUCGAAGUCGUUGAAGCAAGAGUCCUUGGUGGUCGCCAUGCAAAUGCUUAUUCUUCCCAUGCUAACUCAUUCGUUUCAAAACAAUCAAAGUGCCGACGUUGUCGACCAGCCUAUCAUCAAGACUAUUGUGGACAAGCUGUUGGAUCCUCCCGAAGAGGUACUUGUUCUGUGUGAAAGCACUAAUGUCAGUGGGAAUCGCAUUUCAGGUCAGCGCUGAAUACGAUGAGCCUCUUAGGAUAGAACUCCUGCAGCUGGCGACGUUGUUGCUGAAGUAUCUCCCCCACGAACUCGUGACACAUCGCAAGGAACUUAUCAAGUUUGGCUGGAAUCAUUUAAAGCGCGAAGACAGUGCAAGCAAGCAAUGGGCUUUUGUGAAUGUUUGCCGUUUUCUCGAUGCAUAUCAGGCUCCAGAAAAGAUUAUCCUUCAGGUACAUCACAAGAUUGUAAGAUUAUGCAUCGUUUGAACUGUCUAUUCAGGUUUUUGUUGCACUAUUGCGGACCUGCCAACCGGAGAACAGAAAUUUGGCAAGACAGGCGCUUGAUAUUUUGAUGCCAGCUCUUCCUCGCAGACUUCCCUUGGGUGAACAGAAGAUACCUAUAUGGAUACGUUACACUAAGAAGAUUCUUGUUGAGGAAGGCCACUCGGUACCAAAUCUUAUUCACAUCUUCCAGCUAAUAGUUCGACACUCGGACCUGUUCUACACUUGCCGGGCGCAGUUUGUACCUCAGAUGGUGAACUCCCUGAGCCGCCUUGGGCUCCCUGGAAAUCUUCCGAUGGAAAACCGCAGGCUGGCUAUUGACCUUGCUGGACUCGUGGUAUCAUGGGAAAAACGACGGCAGGGAGAAGCAAAGGCGGUUAUGGAAGGAGAUCAACCUUUAUCUACAGAUGGUGCGUCAUUCUCGUUAACAGCUACGGACGUAGGAGUUGGCUCAAAGAGACCACCGGAACUACUGUCUUCGGACGAGACCAAGAGAGUAAAGAGCGAGCCAUCACUUUCUGGGAUGUCACCUGGUCUGGGAUCAAGUACUCCUUCGAUACCAAACGUUGGCACGCCAAAUUCAAUGGGUCAGCCGGAUGAGGAGUUUAAGCCGAACGCUGCAAUGGAAGAAAUGAUCAUCAACUUCUUGAUAAGGGUAACCAGCUGCAUUCUAUUGCUUGGUUCUUAGCCUUCUUUAUAUCUACCAGGUGUCGCUGGUGAUGGAUCCGAAGGAUAAGGAAAUGGCAGCGAUGUAUAAGCAAGCAUUGGACCUCCUUACGCAAGCACUGGAAGUGUGGCCUGGUGCAAAUGUGAAGUUUAACUACCUGGAGAAGUUACUGAGCAGCGCUUUACCUCAGACCACAAAGGAUCCGUCUACCGCUCUUGUGCAAGGACUUGAUGUGAUGAGUAAAGUCUUGGAAAAGCAGCCUCAACUUUUUAUUCGGAACAACGUACAACAGAUCAUUCAAGUAAGACAUAUCGCGUUGCUCCUUUACGCUCUAACGUAUAAAAUUUUGAAGGUUUUGGAUCCGUCCUUCAAUAGCAAACUCGCUGAUGUUGGAAGGUCAAUCUGUAAUGUUUUGAAGCUGGUGUUCAACGCCUUCCCCUCUGAUUCCCUCAGUAACCCACAAGAUGUGAGGCUUCUGCAUCAGAAGGUGGAAGAGCUGCUACAAAAGCACUUACAAGCUGUAACUGCGACCCCGUCUACUCUUGAACCUCGUUCCGCAAACGUUACUAUCAGUUUCUUAUUGGCAUUGCUCAAUACGCUCAGUGAAGGAAACCGAAGUUACUUGGACCGCUACUUGACUCACAUAGUUCGCGUGUUUCAACGUCUCGCACGGGACAUGACCAACAGCUCGGGUGCACUUGCCCGACAGGUUGAAAUUGAUUAAAUUUUCUAUGUUUUCUAAACAGAUCUUACAGGGUCAUCGAGUCGAUCAAGAGGCUGCGGCAGGCAUGAACGUCAGCAACGUUCGCUCUCUUUUAAAGCUUAUCAGUGGCAGAGUUCUGCUAGUACCUGAGUGCAAACGACUUUGCUCACAGACGAUUCAUAUGAUUCUGUCUGAGAAAGGAACGGAUCCAAGCGUACUUCUUACCAUCCUCGACGUUAUUAUUGAGUGGAUAGAGAACGACUUUCGAGCCUCUGGUUCCGGUGCGUCCGUGGGGGUGUUGAACACGAAGGAUGUCCUGACUUUCCUACAGCGUCUUGCUCAAGCCGAGAAAAAUAUGACUGGUUCUGCUUUAGACGAAUGGGAUUCGAAGUUUUUAGCGUUGCUAUAUCGGUUAUGUUCGGACGCAUCCAAGUAAGAGGUUUCCUUGCCGUGUUUGAUAAAAAUGCUAACUAACAUACAAUUUGUGCAGGUAUCCACUGUCUGUGAGGCACGAGAUUUUCGUAAAAGUUGAGAAGCAGUUUUUAUUGGGACUAAGGGCCAGAGAUCCGGACAUGCGGCAGAAAUUUUUCUUACUCUACCACGAAUCUAUUGCGAAGACGCUUUUCACACGCUUGCAGUACAUUAUUCAAAAUCAGGAAUGGGAAGCAUUAAGCGACGUGUUCUGGCUAAAGCAAGGCUUGGACCUUCUACUGGCUAUUCUUGUGGAGAACGAUCCAAUCACGCUUGCUCCCAAUGCCGCACAAGUACCUCCGCUUAUGCCGUCGGGAGGAGUUCCCGACAGGCCUGGAAUGCAGCAACAGGCUGACACACCAGAUGAAGCGCCUCUCUCUUUUAUAGGCAUCGUGAACAAGCAUGCAAAGUUUUUGACGGAGAAUAAACUUCAGGUUCGAUAUGAAUUUCUAAGUUUUCGUCGACAUCUUACUUGUUUAUGGUUUUAGGUGGAGGAUCUUAUUGUCUCUUUACGGGAACUUGCAAAUACCGAUUCACAUGUGGCGUAUCAUAUGUGGGUUCUGGUCUUCCCGAUAGUCUGGGCCACGUUGCUGAAGGACGAGCAAGUGAUGCUAGCAAAGCCUAUGAUUACUUUUCUCUCCAAAGACUACCAUAGCAAGCAGCUGGAUAAGAGGCCAAACGUGAUACAGGCACUGUUGGAAGGGCUGUCUUUGAGUCAACCGCAGCCAAAGAUUCCAAGCGAGCUUAUCAGAUUCUUGGGAAAGACGUACAACGCGUGGCAUAUUGCGAUAUCUUUGCUCGAGAGUCACGUCAUGUUGUUCCCGACAGAAUCUCGCUGCUUCGACGCUUUGGCUGAACUCUACAGAAUGCUCGACGAAGAAGACGUUCGUUAUGGCUUGUGGAAAAGGCGGACGAUUACCAACGACACCAAAGCGGGAUUAUCUCUAGUUCAGCAUGGGUUGUGGCAGAGGGCACAGGAUCUCUUUUACCAGGCUAUGAGCAAGGCAACUCAGGGAUCUUACAGCAAUUCCGUCUCCAAAGCUGAGAUGUGUCUCUGGGAGGAGCAGUGGAUAUCCUGCGCUCGGAGACUUAAUCAGUGGGACAUCCUCGCAGACUUUGGUAAAAGUGUUGAGAACUACGAGAUUCUCCUCGACUGCCUUUGGAAGUCUCCAGAUUGGGCGCAUCUUAAAGACGUUUUGCCGAAGGCGCAGGUGGAAGAAACACCUAAGCUGCGGAUGGUUCAAACUUAUGUCGCACUUCAUGAAGGCAGCAUGAACGGUGUGACUGAGGCGGAUAUGAGAGUCGUUCAGGGUGUGGAUCUUGCACUCCAGAACUGGUGGCAAUUACCUGAGAUGUCAGUUCAGUCGCACGUUCCACUAUUACAGCAGUUUCAGCAACUGGUCGAGCUCCAGGAAUCAACAAGAAUACUACUAGAACUGGGAAACGCAAACAAGCAACAACCGGCAGGGUCCGGACAGCUGCAAGGAGGUGCAGGCAUGUAUGCGGAUCUUAAAGACAUUUUAGAAACUUGGAGGCUCAGGAUUCCGAACGAUUGGGACGAGUUAACGGUCUGGAAUGAUUUGAUGAUAUGGAGGAAUCACAUGUACAAUCUUGUGAUCAACGCGUUCAAGGCGCUGCAAGAGACAAAUCCGCAGUUACACCAGCUUGGUUUCAGAGACAAAGCUUGGAGCGUCAACAAACUUGCAUACGUUGCUCGGAAACAAGGUUUGCACGAAGUCUGCGUUACUGUUUUGAACAAAAUGUACGGCUUCCUUACUAUGGAAGUUCAGGUCGGUAUUUUUCUUAUCGCUGUUGUAGCAUUUAUAGUAUGGCAUCUUCUCAUGCAGGAAGCGUUCGUUAAAAUAAGAGAACAAGCGAAGGCAUACCUUGACAUGAAAGGCGAACUAAUCACUGGACUUAAUCUGAUCAACACAACGAAUUUGGAGUAUUUUCCGAAUCAACACAAGGCUGAAAUCUUCCGCUUGAAAGGAGAGUUUUUGCAGAAGAUGAAUGACAGUGAAACCGCCAACCAGGUUUUCUCUACGGCCAUUUCUUUGUUCAAGCAUCUUCCAAAGGGAUGGAUAAGCUGGGGAAAUCAUUGCGAUCAGGUUAGUUAGGAGCGUGAUUUUGUGCUAGGACCCAGCUCACUGAGAAAUCCGUUUGCAGGUUUACAAAGAAACCGGCGAAGACUUGUGGCUGGAGUACGCAGUGAGCUGUUUCUUGCAAGGUAUCAAGUAUGGAAGCUCGUAUGGUCGGAGCUAUCUUGCCAGGGUGCUUUAUCUGCUGAGCUUCGAUAACCAAAAUGGAACCGUCGGUAAAGCAUUCGAAAAGUACGGGGACCAGAUAACUCACUGGGUCUGGAUUCCGUGGAUACCUCAGCUUCUACUUUCUCUGGAGAGACCCGAGGCAUUGCAUUGCAAGAAUGUUCUGUCGAAGCUGGUCGCACUUUUUCCGCAGGUGAGUUUAGUAAUUGCCCUUCGAUUAUUUGGGAACUUAUUGUUAUGCCCUUUCGGAUUGCAGGCCUUGUACUAUUGGCUUCGGACUCAUCUCUUGGAACGUAGAGACAUUGCGACGAAGUCGGAUGCUGUGAAAGGGUCACAAACACGUGCUCAGGCUGCUGUAGCUGCGGUUGCUGCUAAUCCGGACGCGUCUGGUACUACUACUAAUUCUGAAGGCCCCCAAGGCUCGCAGACCCCCGCGCCGCAACCUCAAAAUGGAAGUGCUGAUACGACACCGCAAGAAGCUGGAGGGUCCGACGGUAAUGCAACUGCGUCUGCAGAUACUUCACAGUCAACAAACGCCGCUGACCAGCUUGCCAUGCUACGUCGAAGCCACUGGGCCACGGCUGUCAGCUCAUUUGAAGCUGCAAGGGAGAUCAUGGACAUGCUGAGGCUAAAACACAACAAUCUCGCGGCGGAGAUGGAGGUACAUGAUAUUUACCCUGCUUCAUUUGUUACCGGCAUCGUUGUUUCCAGGUUAUGUUAACCGAAGUCGGAGCACGUUUUGUUCCUUUGCCAGAGGAAAGAUUGCUAGCAGUUGUUCACGCCUUGCUUCAUCGCUGCUACAAAUUUCCCACUGCGACCACCUCUGAAGUCCCUCCGUCCCUGAAGAAAGAGCUUGCUGGCGUUUGCAAAGCUUGCUUUUCGUCUGAUACCGUGGCAAAGCACACGGACUUCGUCAACGAGUACAAAAGAGGUUUUGAACGCGACCUUGAUCCAGAAAGCACAGGAACAUUUCCGGCCACUCUAGCCGAGCUGACUGACCGCUUGAAACAUUGGAAGAGUGUCCUCCAGUCCAAUGUUGAGGAUAGACUUCCAGCGGUAUUGAAGCUUGAGGAAGAGAGCAGACAACUUAGGGAGUUCCACGUCUUGGACAUUGAAGUUCCAGGACAGUAUUUCAACGAUAAGGUAAGCUAGCAGAGCUUGUGUAUGUUUUUCUACUGAUAAUUUGGCUUCUUUAACCUGCAGGAAGUAGCACCUGAUCAUACAGUGAAGCUAGACAGGAUUGGAGCGGACGUUCCGAUUGUUCGUAGACAUGGAAGCAGUCACCGAAGGCUAACUAUGAUCGGAAGUGACGGCUCUCAGCGACAUUUCCUAGUGCAGACGUCUCUGACCCCGAGCGCGAGAAGCGACGAGCGGAUGGUGCAGCUAUUCCGGGUUUUAAAUCGACUCUUUGACAAGCACAAAGAGUCAAGGCGCAGGCAUCUGGCAUUUCAUACGCCCAUCAUCGUCCCUGUUUGGCCUCAGGUAUGUUUUCAAUCCCUAUAUAUAUAUAGCUAAACUAAGAUUCCAUAUUUUUAUCGCUAAACUAAGAUUCUUCAGCAGGUCCGAUUGGUGGAGGAGGAUCUUAUGUACAGCACCUUCGGUGAGGUGUAUGAGAUCAACUGUGCGAGAUAUGGACGCGAAGCCGAUGUUCCUAUCACGCAUUUCAAGGAGCACUUGAACCAGACCAUCACAGGACAGAUGAGCCCAGAAGCCGUGCUGGAGCUUCGGCUAAACACGUACAAUGAGAUCAUCACCUCGCUUGUCAACGAGAACGUCUUCUCGCAGUUUAUGUACAAGACACUUCCGAGCUCCAACCAUCUGUGGACGUUCAAGAAGCAGUUUGCUGUGCAGUUGGCCUUGUCUGGCUUCAUGUCCUACAUGCUGCAAAUAGGUGGCCGGUCUCCAAACAAGAUCCUAUUUGCAAAGAACACGGGCAAGGUUUUCCAGAAUGACUUCCAUCCCGGUAUGCUCUCUUGCUCUUCUGGAUCCUCUUGUGAGUUGUUUAUUCCUUACAGCCUACGACAUCAAUGGCAUGAUCGAGUUUGCUGAGCCGGUUCCAUUCAGGCUCACUCGCAACCUGCAGACUUUCUUUACUCCCUUUGGAGUCGAGGGCCUUUUCGUGUCCGCAAUGUGUGCGGCAGCACAGUCGGUGACAGCACCCAAGGUCAGCAGAGAAACAGCCUCUUUCGUUUUUCAUUCCAACUGACGAGCUUUUGUAUCGCUGCAGAACCAACACCUUCAAAACCACUUGGCGAUGUUCUUCAGGGACGAACUUAUUUCCUGGUCGUGGCGCCGUCCACCGGGAAUGCCCAACGCCGCUGUGGGUGGCAUCUCCCCCACGGAGCUCAAGCAGAAGGUGACCGCAAACGUGGACCAGGUGCUCGCUCGCGUCAAGGGCAUCGCUCCACAAACAUACCCCGAAGAGGUAAGUGAGCGACAGCAGUCCUUGUGUUUGUGGAAGCUCACAGCGGUUUGUUUUGUUUCCCAGGACGACAAUUCCAGCGAGCCACCUGUGUCUGUGCAAGCAGCAGUGGCAGAGCUUGUGGAAGCAGCGUUGCGGCCAAAGAACUUGUGUAUGAUGGAUCCUACUUGGCAUCCCUGGUUCUAAGCGAAUUCUACAUAGAUUUUCACUUGUAUAUGCUCACAUCCUCCGUGUUGUCUAAUCUAAUUCCAUGUGCUAAUCAUAUCCUGCAAAAAAAAAAACAAAAUGUUUUCGUUUUUACGUUCCUACAUAACGAAUUCUGGAUACAAAAGUUGUAGUACUACAACGUGCUGUUACAAAGUUUUUUGCUUCUUUUCAAUAGGACCAGUAUUCUCCACAACCCACGGGUGACGGAGUACCUCCUCCACCGUUAGCCUUUGCUCUGGAUUGACCUUCAACAUCCCCAAGAUGAGCUCCCUCGCCUCUUUGGACACACCCCCGCCCCACUUCAAUGCCCGUUCCACCUCUGCAUCCCCAGCACUUUUGAGAAAGCAUUCCACAUCAAAAACAUCAGAGAACACCCCCCACCCAGUGACAAGCUCGUACGCAAUCAACCCUAGCCCCCACAAGUCCACAGCUUUGGUGUAGUAAAACGGCCAGCCAUCCUUGCCAGCCCUGAGCACAUCCGGGGAUAUGUAUCCAUUGGUGCCACAGUUCUCGUGCAUGUCCUCAGCCACGUCUGUGGCGAGCCCAAAGUCAGCCAGCUUCACCUCAUAAGGUGGCAACAGCCUGGUGAGCAAAACGUUGUCCAGCUUCACGUCCCUGUGCACCACUCCGAGCGAGUGCACCCGUCCUAGUGCCUCAGCCAGGCUCUUGAUCACAAACGCUGCCUCUUGCUCCUCCAUCUUCCCGCCAGCUUUAUGAAGCCUCUCGCUCAGCGUGCAUGAGCCUAGCUCCAAAAUUAGGGUUCCCCACCAUCGGCCACCUUUGAACUUGCGAUCCUCCUCCAGCACCACGUCGUAGAGCUGUAUUGUCCCUUGGCAGCCGGCUAGCUUGAGCAUGACCCGGAGCUCCCUCUGUGCCGUCUCUGGUAGUGACUUUGCAGCUAAGAGCUUGCUCCCCAUGACCAGGUGGACCGUGCCUUGCCCUCCACUCCCAAGCUCCAUAACCACUCGAUAGAGCUUCUUCAAUGCUGGCAGUUCCACAACUUUGCCACUCUCGACUUCCCUCCAAAUUGUCAUGAGCGGUCACAAAGCCCUAAACCCUUUAGAUAAGUUUAUAUAUUAAAAAGGCAAUCUCUUUCUUAGUCUCAAAGAGUUCAAAGAGUGGAAAGCUGUUUCACAUUAAUGGGGUAACUGUCUUCCACAGAUCCUUCCCAGAAUCUGUCCGCCAACUCACCAUAGACUCUUGAGCUCGGAUGAAACUCGUCCCAGUACACAUAACUCGAGGUGUCAUCGCAGGUGGUGACGUUUCUCAGGCAGAAAACGAUGGCACCAUUCUUGCCGAUUCCGCUGCAGCAAGCUUGGUCACCAACCUUGUAUCCUGAAGAUCAACAUAUCAUCUUUUUCUGAAGCUUGCCAAGAAGAAGAAAAAUGGUUUACCGUGAGCGGCCGGGUUCCGGACAAGAUCAAGAACGUAGUCGAACGAGUUUGCAAAGACAAUGUGCGACCCGGGAAGAGAUGAGCUCCACUUUACGACGCUGGCCUUGAGAUCCGCAUUGAAUCGAGCGGCGGCGUCGUUAAGGAAAUCCACGCACUUGCCCCUCUUGGCAACGUUGUAUCGCAGCAAGUUGAUGGGACUACAACCCAGAGCCGUGAGAGAAGCAAGGACGAACUUGCGGCCGCCGGAUCCAUGCAGCCUCUGGAGUUGCUUGUGGUACUCGGCGAGGAGGAGAGAUUGAAAGCGCUCGGGAGUGUAUUGGACGGCCAGGGGCGAGGCCGGAAGGAGGUAAUAGUUGUUGACAAGAUCAUUGCUGCCCACGGUGAUGUAGUAAAUCGCUUGGGACGAGAGCUCCCGGGCUCGCUUGGAUCCAAGCUUGGCGGUGAUGUUGUUGCCCAGAACGUUUUGGAAGUGAUCGACUUGGGCUGGAAGAGAGAAAUGCUGGCCCUGCUUGGACAAUGAAUUCAAUGGUAAAUGAUAAAAGAAGUUCUUAUGAAACUCUUACAAAGACGAGGCCUGUUGACUCGAGCAAUCCAGAUCCAGCGGAUGCGAAGUUUACACCCUGCAAAACAUUGUCAUUCGCAGAAACGUAUGCUGGAGCUAGAUCAAGUCCCAAGCGCGAUGCUGGAUAUCACCAAAUCAAAAGCAAACGAGCGCUCUUUGUAAGUUAGAUCAAUGACAAAACUUUUGGAAGAUCACAAAAAACAUUACCCAAGAAGUCUGGAACAAGCCGUCCAUUUGCAAAUCUCCCAGUUGGACGCUGGCUCUGAUCAAAGUCCUUGCCAUAGGGGGGGAAGUUUGCUUGUGCCAGAGUGAUUAGAGCAUUGUUGUUUCCAGCAUCCACCAUGGAGUCUCCAAAAACGAACAACGCUGGAACUUUGGCUUGAGCUUCAGAUGUUACCAGUGAUAGCACUAUAACCAUGGUGGCGAUCAAAGCCAUAGAAACUUCUAGCCUGACCGUUUUGUAAAACUCUAUGGAGGAGCUAAAAACCCAUUCACCAAACAUUCACUCGCUCCGGUUCGAGACCAUCUUUUUUAUGCUUGGAGCGCUCAUAUAAAUGCCGGGCUAUGGAAAAGCGUGUAGAUGGAAGCGACCCAAAAAGAGAAAAAGCUACAAAGAAGCUCAAGAACAACUUGAUUUUUCGCUAGAGACUGACAAGGAGGACAAAAAUUUCAAGCAAGCACUGUGCUAGAACUAAAUGCUCCGAAAGAGAAGAAAAUAAUGGCAGCUUUGGCUUCCGUUAGGAAGAUGGUCGACUUCUUCCACCAAACCCAGGCAGCAUUAAAACUUUCGACGUCUGGUGGAUGGAUCUGGCCGUGGAAACAUUUAUUCCUUGAUCUUAUUUUUUUGCCUUGAAUCGCUGGAACAAUAUCGCUGGAACAACGUCGCAGCCUCAAAGGAUUUGCUGGAUGUUCAUGGGAUAAAUCUCGUCCUUGCCACCGCUCCAAAAGUUUCGAGCCAGGAUCUCGUAGAUUCUGCUGCUGGGGUGGAACUCGUCCCAGUAGACAUACCUCGACGGGUCUUUGCACGAGGGAACGUCUGGGAGGCAGAAAACAAUGGCCCCGUUCUUGCCGAUUCCACUGCAGCAUGCCUUGUCACCUUCGUCGAAUCCUGUGAUCUCGAAACUUUCAAGGAGCGAAAACCAAAAACAAGGAACGAAAACUUCGUCACGUACCAUUUGCAAGCGGAUUCAAGGCCGCCUUGUAGACCAUGUCGUAGCAAUUGCCGUGGAGGAGCUUGAUUCCUGGCAAGCUUUCUCUCAGCUCGCUCAGCAUGGAUUCCACGGCCUUGUUGUACAACUUUGCUGCAUCGUUUGGCUCCGCAGCACACUCGCCUGGCUUCUUGAUGAGGUAUUUGAGAAGAUUGAUGGGACUACAGCCGAGUGCCGUGAGUGAUGCAAUCACAAAUCUCCUCGCUCCUUCACCAUAUAAUGUCUGGAAGUGAGAACCACGACCUUCAGUGCUGGACAAUUUUUUUUGAAUCUACCUUGAUUUGCUCCCUGAAAACUACAAUGAGGGAGUCUUGGAACUCUUGAGGCGAUUGCGUUCUCAGCGGAGCCCCGGGGAGGAGGUAGUAAUUGUUAACCAGAUCGUUGCUGCCAAUUGUGAUGUAGUAAAUGGCUUUGGAGACCAUGCGGGAGGCCGAUUCCGGGCCGAGUUUCUUCACAAGCCUUGCAUGGACUUCCUUGAAGCUCGCAACCUGCUUUGGAAGCGGAAUGUGUUCUCCCUGGAGAUAAUUGACGAUUGAGACAAGAACAAACCAGCAACACAACAAGAUCUCACUUACAAACACAUUCCCAGAGGCUGGAAGCAGGCCCGCUCCAGAUGAUGCAAAAUUCAGCCCGUGGUCGAUGUUGUCUCCCGCCGAGAGAUACGUCUCCGGGAACGGAAGACCAAGGAAUGAUGCUGAAAGCUCGAGAAAACAUAUAAGCGGCAAACAACAGUGACAGAGAAACUCACCAAUGAAGUCUGGGACCAGCCUUCCAUUUGCAAAUCGACCUGUUGGCUUGUGCGUGUCGAAGUCUUUGCCGUAAGGUAGAAAAUUGGCCUUGGCCAACGAUUGGAGGUUGUUGUUGUUCCCUGAAUCCACUAAAGAGUCCCCGAAAACAAAAACUGCCGAUACAUCGUAGUUUUUAGCCAGUGCCGAGCUACAAGAAAGCAAGAGAAGAAAUGAGACGAUGCACAGGUAUGGAGCCAUCGUCUCUUCUUCAGCCCGACUGCGAUCCUACAAAAAGCAGCUACUGUCAAAUGCAAGAGGUCUAGACUUCUAGUUAAGACAAACGCCCCAACUGUCCUCCAGAAGCUUUAUAGACUUUGUGCAGAAUCUUGAACUUUGAGAGCUCACCUUACUCUGUAUGAAACAGCUGUGAACCAUCAAGGCCCUUUUGCCCGAGUGGUCAUCCCCACCUCGUUGCUGAUGCUGCUGUGGUUGUGGAAAAGCUGCAACAAAGAAGCGUCGCAUGAGUUAGCCAAGUUGAAAGGUCACCUUUUUUAGUUUAAGUGCUCUUGUUAAUCCACGUAAAGUGAGUACGAAUAUCUGAAACGGGGUAAAUGAUAUUUUUGCUAUAAACAUUGUCUCUCUGCAACGACAACUGAAUUAAAUAGUGUAAAAACAGUUCAACAAUUGCGGUAGGAAGAACUUUUUACAUAUCCCAGACCCUGUUAGCGCCUGGGUGGUGAUACGGCGGAUACGGAGGAAUCACCCCAGGAUGGUGCGCCCCAAACAUGUCAAAGCGACCCAUCCCUGGAUGCAUGAAGUGCGGGUAGCUAGAAACCGGAGGAAAAUGAUCUGCAUCCAAAAGAAGACGAAGUAAGCUCCCGUAGAAACUGUGACUCGAACACCUCAAAUUUAAAGACCUCUUCUGUUGUAGCCCGAGGGAGGAGAUCCUUUGUAGGAAUCACGCGGCCUAGGGGAAUAGUACUGUCUAUCCUGUCUAUCGUAGCCUCGUCUCUCGGAUGGGGAAUAUGACCUGCCAAACACGAUGGAAAACAGAAGAUAAAUUAGACUUAGAUUACCUGGAAUGACGACGACGUCUAGGUGAAGACGAGGGAUGCCUCGGUGACCGCGAACGAGACCGCGAGCGACCUGCAAGCUACAAGCUAACAAGAUAUCCAGAAAAAGAAAAUAGAACCUCUUCGAGGGGACCGCCUUGAGCUUGGCCUGUCCCUAUACAUAACAAGAACAACGCUCAGUCUGAUCCACUUGAGAGAAGUCUUGGAAUGACUUGACGGAAAAAGAAUACCUUGACGUUUCCUUCAUUCUCAUCUCUGCUGGCUUCUUCCGGGUUUCUUCGGCAAAAACCACUGAAACUUCACGGCCCCUGAUGAGCUGGUGAUUCAUCUUGUACUGCGCUUCAAUGGCAUCGCGAGGAUCGAUGAACUGUACAAAGCCGAAUCCCCGAGGCUCUCUGCAAGAUGCGGUGCGAGUUACAGAUUUCACUUGGCAACUUCUAAGACGAGUGGAACCAAACAGCUGCCAGGCCAGGGUCUUUUAGAAUCUAUCUCGACUUGGUAGUCUUCACCACUGAACUUCAAAAAGAUGCUAAAGAAGAACGCCACUAUCUCCCCAAGAACUACAGCUUAGCUACAAAGACCAUCUUCAAGUCUGACCUUCUCUUGCUUCUCAUCUUGAGAUCUUCUCACGGCCCUUCAUUCAACACUAAAGUCUCAGCAAAUGUAAACUUUUUCUUUUUCUACUUUAGUCUAAACAAGCAAAGAAAAGAAAAACACACUCAAGCAUCACGCCCCAAGCGCUUACCCGGAGUAGAAGUCCUUGGGAAGAUACACAUCCUUGACAGCUCCAUAGCGCUCGAAUGGGCCUCUCAGAUCAUCCGCCCUGGAAUGGCAAAGAAUCAAACCACUGCCCACAAAAGAGGAUUUGUACCUCGUGUCACGCGAGAUAUUUCGGACCAGCAGGCUUGUCGGCGGCUCCCCGCGGCCUCCUCGCGGGCUCGAGCUGCGGCGCCGGCUGCCACCGCUCCGCCGGGACGACGGCGGAGGGCUCUCGUAGGGACUUCGUCGCCGCUGCAUCUGAUUCGCUAAGGUAGAACCCUACUCUUCGAGCUAGGUCUUCAUAAUAAGUUUUUCUAUAAAAAAGUACAACUCUCUUUACUCCAUUUUCUUGAUUCAUUUGAAUAUUAUUCUUUUUUAUGUUUCAUAUUAUUUUUAGUCACAUUUAAAUUGAAGACAUCUGUCAUUACAAUCUUUAGAAAUAGGUUGGCAUCAAGAUAGGUUUUUGGUUUGCUAAAAAAGUGAAUAUACCUAGGAUAUGCUUAGAAUAAUAAACUUUUUUUUCCAAGAUCAACUAGAGUUACCAUGCUUUUCAUGUGAUUCUUUUUGAACCACCAACUUCCACAACUUAACAAGUAUGAAGCUAGAAACAUGAGUGUUUGAUCAACACCAACAGCUAGAACACAAUGAUGUUGUUUAUAUUGCCAAUUUGAAGUUUCAUGAGAAAAAGUUGUGAUGAUUUAUCCUCAAGCCAAGAUUGAAAGUCAAGCACAUGGAAUCAAGUUUAGAUAAAUUUAUUGAUGUCCACAUACUAAUACAAGAGACCUCAUAAUAGUAGUGUUUUCUUUAUACUUAAAAUAUCAAAAUAUAUUCUUUAAUCUAACAGUUCUAAAGGUUUAUGCUAAUAUUUUUAUUUAUGACUAAUACAAUCUCUCCCCCUUCCACACAUAUAAAUACUUAGAGUGCAUAGUUCUCAUUGAUCACUUCAAAUGUCGCAAAUGUGACUUCGGGCAUCGAAAGUUAUCUGUCGACUAGUCUUUAUGGACACUUUUUCCUUACUGCCACAAUGGCAGGAGGUCAGUAUUGCUGGACCCGUUAUCAGUCUUUACCUAAACUAAUUAAGAAAUUAGUCAUCACAUGUGCACUUAGAUCAGAAGGGCACUAAGGAAGGAAAUUCUAAGUUGUCAUUUAGUCAAGUAGACUUGAUAUGGUGAUGAGAAACUUAUGAUGUUAGCUUACACUUGCUAGUGUUGGGAACCGAGCUUGGUCCCUCAAUAUCGCUAGAUGAUAGCUUAUCGUAUUUGCCAAACACCCUCGCUAUCAUGCCCUUUGUGUUAGUCUUAUUUCGGUCCCAAAUGCUAUUUAUGGAAAGUGUCUAGAUUUGCUCAUUUGGCAUAUCUACGGAAUGUAGAGAUUGUCCUGAACACAAUGGUGUUCAUCCCGUGUCCAAAUUUGCAAUCUAGAGGCAUUCCAUAUUUAGUAAGUUUCAAGCUUAUCCCAGAGACUAACUCUUGAUACUAAGGCAGGCUUGGGGUGAAAGCCCAAAGUGUGUGUUCCUCAAGAGCGGGGGGGGAGGGGGGUUGUGGGGGGUUCCAAAUGUAUAGUAGGGAUAGUGGGUAGGUUGGGCAUGGCUAACUAACCUGAGGCAUAGUCUAGCUUUCACUUGCAUGCCUGUCCUUGUUCUGCGUCCGGCUCAGGUCUAAGCCUAAGUUCCAUUCCAUGCUAGCUAGUGGAGUACCCAUGUCCUUGCGUUAGGCCACCGGUAUGCUGAAAUAGCGCCAGACUCCAUUUGGCUCCGUUUUGCGUGUUGGUUUUGGCAUUGGGAUGCUGGUUACUCUAGAAUUAUUCCAAGUCGCUUCGAGCUCCUGUCCCUUCGCUCCUUGGGCUUUAUGCUCGAGAGUUGCUCUAUGGUUCAGUUCUGUCACUCCUUGGCUCCAAGCUUGGGAGUUUGGUACCGUUCCUUCGUUCAGUGGCCCAAGGCUCUGAACCAUGGGUUCCACACCAAUGUCCUGUGGACACGUGGCAUGGACAUAUGCCAUGUGACACGUGGCAUUUGACACGUGGCACAUGGAGGGUUUAGGUUUCGCUUCGUGGUGUUAUCUUAUGGUAAAUCACUAUAGGAUAAAGGGUCAAAACCACGUGCGCUACAUCAAAUCAUAAAUUCUAAAUAUUUUUUAACAGUAAACAACCAAAGGGAAUGACUUGACAAAUGAUUCAUUAAAGUUCAAAUAUAAAAGAAAAAACUUAUGAAUAAAAUUGCAUUUUUUUCCAAUUAGUUAAGGGUUUCGGGAUACUUGGGGUUAAGUGUCAUUAGAUUUAAAUAGUACUGAGUUAGUGACUUCCUAAAAAGUCCAAAAAACUCAUAAGCUUAUAUUACCCUUAUCAUACACAUCAAUAAUGGAUUCAUUUGAGAAGUUGAUAUAUUCCAUAGGGAUUUGAUAUUUUGAAUUUGAUGAGCUCCAUUAGUCUCCCCAAUACCUUAGUGGCUAUUUAAAAUAGUUGUUUAUUGGGAUUUAUCUUUGAUAAGACUCAAGUUUUAACACUAUGAUAUACAUUUUAAAUAUUAUGUAAUACUGAAGGAUCUUUAUAGAGUUCUUUAUGGUUUUUCCCAUAGGGAAUGGGCAUUGAUAAGUGUUUGUCUUUGCUCUAGUUUGUUUAUAGUAGCACUUAACAAUCAAUUAUUGAUAUGUCUCCAUUUAUAGUGAAAUAUGGUUAUAAUCUCAUAGAGUAUUCUUAAAAUAUUCCUAUGGUUUAUGUUGGAAAUAGCCUCCUAUGUAUCUUCAUCUAAAUAAUCAUUCUAUUGAACUAACAACUCCCAAGUUAUCUUACGACAUGUCUUCACCAACCUAUGAACAAAGGGACAGAAGCAUGGAGCAACGUUAGAACAAUCUUAAAACUUCCACCAUCCCAAUGUUAGAACUAACAUGCAAAACAAAGCUAGGCGCUAUUUCAACAUACUAGAACACAAGGAUAUGUGUAUAUGUGUCCUUGUUUUAUGUCUAGCUUAGGUCUAAGCUUAAAUUCCAUACUAUCCUAACUAGUGGAGUAAGCAGAAGUUAAAUUAUACCUUAGGUUGGUCGUCCAUGCCAGAUCUAGUCACUAUCCCUACAAAAAUUUAUUAAAUAUGAAAUAGUGUUAAAUUGCAAAUUUAAAUGUGGGAAUAACACCAUUGUAUUUAGAACAAUCUCUAAAUUCCAUAAAAUGCAAAAUUAACAAAUUUAAACAAUUUCCAUAAAUAGCCAAUGGGAUCAAACAAAACCAACAUAUGAAGGAAUGAUAGCAAGGGUGUCUUGGUAGACAUAAUAAGCUAUCACAUAAUAAAUAUUAAAGGACCAAACUUAAUAUCAUAUGAGUUCUUAACAUUAGCAAAUGCAAGUCAAUGAAUGAGUUUUUCUAACCAAAUUAAGUAUGUUUGACUAAUAACAUUUAAAAAUUCCAUUUUUAUGCUAUUUUAGCCAGUUGGGUGACCUCCCGGGAAGUCCAAAUUCAAGAGGUUAUAUUGUAGUAAGGGCAUAUCAUCUUUUGUAAGAUGGGUGACACCCAAAGCAACAAGGGUGGUUAAUUUGAUUGGUUAUUUCCAUAUUAGUGAAGGCCACAAGGUAUAUGAAUGAUAGUGUAUUUUAGUUAAAUAGAGAAGUUGCCCCUUAACUCAUUUAAGUUGGUGCAUUUUUCAUAAAGUAUAAAUACCAUAAGCUUUUUUUGAAGUUGUUUCCUUAGGGAUGGUCUAGACUAAAGUAUGUAUCAAUGAGGAUGUCAAUCUUUUCUAAACAAGGGAGAGUGUCGCGAAUAUAAUUAUAAGUAUUGAAAGUUAUAUAUUGAUAAGUCCUUUCAGAUUUUUUUCUUUAUUGCUAUGAUGGCAAAAGGUCAGUAUUAUUGGACCCUUUUUUUAGUUUCCACCCAAACUAGUUGAGAAACUAGUCUUUGCAUAUGCACUUUAGUACUAUUUAAACCCAAUGAUAUUUAACCCCAAGUAUCCAAAGACUUUUAAUCAAUUGGAAAAAGGGAUGCACUCAUAUUUACGGGCCCUUGCCCUCUAUAUUUGAACUUUUAUAAAUCAUCUUUUAAGUCAUUCAUUUAAUUGUUUAUAAUCCACCAUAUUUUCCUACAAGUUCAUACUCUCGUGGAUGGAAGCUAACAGCCAUAGCUCUUCUAAGACCCUCACUCUUUUGACACUCAACCCAAGGUCUCUUAACACCCUACUUCUCAAGUUGAGCCCAGCUAAAGGCAAACUAAACUUAUUAAAUAUCAAUAUCAACAUAUAAUGUGAUUCCCUUAAGUCAACUAAUAGAGUUGAACUUGAGACCCCUUUAAUAAUAAAUGUAAGUUAUUGAAUUUAGACUCUUGAGAGAUCACUCAACCCACUGCUAUUUAAACCCAAAGAUGCCUAACCCCAAGUAUUCAAGACCUUUAACCGAUUAGAAAAUGGAGUGCACUUUUAUUUAUGGGCCCUUUCCCUCUAUAUUUAAACUUUUAUGGAUCAUUUCUUGAGUCGUUCUUUUUGGUUGCUUAUAUAUAGGUGAUAUAGAAAGAGAAGCUAAAGGCCUCAAUCUUCAUGAGUAAAUAAACAAAAGCCAUUAGUAAGGUUUAGAUAGACUAUUGUAAAUAAGCGGCUAGAGUUGUUUAUACAAUCAUGCCCUUUGAAUGGAAUAAGGAACAUUGACAAAGAAGUGAAUGAUGUGACAAGUUUAUAAUAGCUAUCCCAUAACUAAAGAUUUUACCAUGCACACAAAAUACCGAAGCCAAUCUUCCUAUACUAACUCAAACUUAAAGAUAAAAAAAUGGACAAUAUCAAAGUCAAAGAUAAUGAUAUUUUAGAGACAAAAUUAUUAGUGAAUAAAUCUUAUAUUAGAACAUAAAAGUAUUCUAGUUAAGUUAUCAUCUAAUAAACCAAGAUUAUAGGAUAGGAACCAGAGGUUAAAGUCACGAGAGUAAAAAUUCAAUAGUAAGUAUAUCAUCAAGAAAACUCAAUAAUAAAAUUUAAUGUUGCAAAUGUGACUUUGGAUAUCAAAAGUUACCUCUUGGUUAAUCCUUUUAAAUAUUUUUUCCUUACUACCACAAUGGCAAAAGUUUAGUAUUGCUAGACCCUGUAAGCCACAAAUUUUUCCUUUCCAAUUUGAACUCUAUGGACCGUCUCUCAAGUCAUUCCCUUUGGUUGCUUAUAGACCCUUUAUCAGUCCCUUUUGUUCAAGUGUUAGUAAACUAGACUUUGCAUUUAUACUUGGUCGGAUGAGCAUAAGGACGGAAUUCCUAAAUGUCUAUUUUAGCUAAGUAUACUUGGCUUAGCUUGUUAGUUCUCUUUUGUUUUGUUUUGCACUAGCUUGACAAGAACCCUCACGUAUUGAAACUAGUUCCUUAAUAACACUACAUAAUAGCUUAUUAUAUCUACCAAACACCUUUGAUAUUAUAAUCCUUUGUAUUAGUCUCAUUCUAGUCCCAAAUGUUAUUUAUGGAAAGUGUCUAGAUUUACUCAUUUAGCAUAUCUACGGAAUGUAGAGAUUAUUUUGAACACAAUGGUAUUUGUCCCGUGUCCAAAUUUGCAAUCUAAAAAUAUUCUAUAUUUAGUAAGUUUUAAGCUUGUUUUAGAAACUAACUCCUGGCACUAAAGGUGGCUAAAGGUGAAAGCCCAAAGCAUGUGUUCCUUAACGGGGGGGAGGGGGUUGUGGAAGGUUCCAAAUGUAUAGUAUAGCUCCCAUUUGUAUGCUUGUCUUUGUUUUAUGUCCGACUUGGGUCUAAGCCUAAGUUCUAUACCAUGCUAGUUGGUGAAGUACCUAUAUCCUCAUGUUAAACCACCAGUAUGUUGAAAUAGUGCUAAAAUCUAUUUGAUUCUAUUUUGCAUACUAGUUUUGGCAUUAAGAUGCUAGAUACUCUAGGACUAUUCCAAGUCACUUUGUGCUCCUGUCCUUUCGCUCCUUGGGUUGUAGGCUCGAGAGUUGUUUCAUGCUCCAAUGCCUUCACUCCUUGGCUCUAUGCUUAGGAGUUUGGCUCCGUUCUUUUGUUUAGUAGCCCAAAGCUCUAAAACUUGGGUUUUGCACCACUGUCCUUUAGAUAUGUGGCAUGUGGCAUGUGGCAUGUGACAUGUUGCACAUUAAGGGUUUAGGUUCCGCUUCAUGAUUAUCCUAUAGUAAAUCACACUCAAAGAACACAAAGUAUCAUUAACUGGCAAGAAGAAUGUAUCACCCAAAAGAAAUAACAUUUAAAUCUAUCGAAACUAACAAUAGUAACUAUUAACAGAGCAAAAUGAAUAUUGUAAGGGCUAAUAAAUGCUUGUUUAUGCAACCAUCACACUAAGGAAUCUAAAUAAAUCUUAGUUAAUAACAUAAAGGAACUAAAAUUUACUUAAAAAAGUGUCAGCAACAUCUUACUAACCAAAAGACUAAUCCAAAGCAAACUAUAAAAAACAUGCAGUAAUGUAGAAAGCCAAAAACCAUAAAAAAGGACAAUUAAGCAUCAUGAAAUAUCAUCAAUCAUCCUAUCAAUAGUGAUGCAUAAUCAUUAUUAAAUAACAAUCUAUCAUCUCGAAGGACAACAAUAUAAAGAACCAAACUCCCUAAAGUGUUAUACGCUAAAGGAUCCUAAAAUCAUAACCGGAACAAUAAAUUGUUUAUCAAAUGAGACCAAGUUUGAAAUUGAGUCCAAGAUUGAGUUCGAGACUAAAUUUGAGACUGACUCCAAGACUAAGAAGAUCAAGUCCGAGGGGAUUUUAAAGGUAUAGGGAUAGUAAGGUUUAGGAACCAAUUUUGAAGGAACUCUCCAUUAGUGCUUCCAAACCAACUUGGGGUUGGGACUAGGGGUUAAGGACUUUAGAUGGGAGUGAGCAUAAACUUGAUGGUGUUAGAGAGGCCAUCCAAGGAAGUGGUUAAAAAAAAUUCCCACUCCCAAAAGGGAAAUCAAUUACAGUGCUCUUGGCUUAUAUAGAAUGGUGUUCUAUUUGAGUACUGUGUAGUUCAUUGGUACUUGCUCUUUUCUAGGGGCUUGGAGGUCCCCUUGGGAAUGGAAGUGGGGGAGUAGGGAUAUCUAUAUUGGGCCAUUAGGCCAUAGUGUUUCCCUCUGAAAUCCUAAAAUAAAAAGAUGCAUCUAAAGCUUGGGAUUUAAAAUCAAUUGUAUCAAGGGACGUUAAGAAAUGUAGCGCAUGUGGUUUUGACCCUUUAUCCUAUGGUGAUUUACCAUAGGAUAACACCACGAAGCGGAACCUAAACCCUCUUUGUGCCACGUGUCACAUGCCACGUGUCCAUAAGAACCCGAGGUUCAGGGCCUUGGGCCACUGAACAAAGGAACGGUACCAAACUCUCAAGCAUGGAGCCAAGGAGUGAUGGAACCGAACCACGGAGCAACUCCCGAGCAUAAAGCCCAAGGAGCAAAGGGAUAGGAGCCCGGAGCGACUUGGAACAGUCCUGGAGCAACCAGCAUCCCAAUGCUAGAACCAGCACGCAAAACGGAGUCAAACGAAGUCUGGUGCUAUUUCGGCAUAUUGGUGGCCUAACGUGAGGAUAUGGGUACUCCACCAACUAGCAUGGAAUGGAACUUGGGCUUAGACCCAAGCCGGAUGCAGAAUAAGGACAGGCACGCAAGCGGGAGCUAGACUAUGCCUCAGGUUAGUCGGCCAUGCCCGACCUACCCACUAUCCCUACUAUACAUUUGGAACCCCCCACAGCCCCCCCCCCUCCCUUGAGGAACACACGCUUUGGGCUUUCACCCUAAGCCACCCUUAGUAUCAGGAGUUAGUCUCUGGGACAAGCUCGAAACUUACUAAAUAUGGAAUGUCUUUAGAUUGCGAAUUUGGACACGGGACAAACACCAUUGUGUUUAGGACGGUCUCUACAUUCCGUAGAUAUGCCAAAUGAGCGAAUCUGGAUGCUUUCCAUAAAUAGCAUUUGGGACCAAAACGAGACCAACACAAAGGGCAUGAUAGCGAGGGUGUUUGGCAGACAUGGUAAGCUAUCAUCUAGCAAUAUUGAGGGACCAAUCUCAAUAUCGCAAGUGCAAGCCAAUGACUCAAGUUUCUCAAACCAGGUCGAGUAUGCUCAGCAAGAAACACAUAGGGUUCCUACCUUAUGUUUAUCCAAUCUAACUUCAUGGUCAUUGACCAGUUUCUCAACUAGCUCAAGUGGGAAACUGAUAACGGGUCCAGUAAUACCGACCUCCUACUAUUGUGGCAGUAAGGUAAGAGUGUCCGUAAGGACUAGCCAACAGGUAACUUUCGAUACCCGAAGUCACAUUCGCAACACUCUCCCCCCCUAGGGAAGAUCGACGUCCUCAUCGAUGCAUACUCGAGUCUAGAAUACCGCCAAGGAAACAACUCUAGAAAAAGUUCACAGUACUCACACUAUGUGAGAAAUGCACCAACUUAAAUGAGUUAAGGGGCAACCUCUUUGUCUAACGCGGAUGCGCUACCAGCUCAGACACCUUCCGGCCGUCGCCGACAAAGAAAUGACCAACGGAGUUAGCCACCCUUGCUGCUCUGGGAGUCACCCAGCUUACAAAAGUGUGAUAUGCCCCUGCCCGCAGGAACAUAGAGAGAGAAGCCAGAGGCCCCAACCCUCCUAAGCAAAGAAACCAAACCCGUCGGUAAGGUUUAGAUAGACUACUGUAAACAGGCAGUUAGAGUUGUUUACACGGUCACGCCCUUGUAACGGAAUAAGGAACAUCAACAAAGAGGCGGGUUAUGUGACCAGUCGACAGUAGCUACCCUAUGACUAGAGAUUUCAACAUGCACACGAAGUGCCGAAGCCAGUCUGCCUAUACUGGCCCAAACCCAAAGAUCAUAGAUGGACAUUAUCAAAGUCAGAGACAAUGAUAUCUUAGGGACUUAAUUAUCAGUGAGUAUAUCUUAGAUUAGAACACAAAAGUAUUCCAAGUAAGUUAUCAUCCGAUAAACUAGUAGUAUAGUACAGGAACCACCAAGAUCAUCAUAAGUGGUAAACAUAGGAUUCACCAUUAAACAAAAUUCAAUAGCAAGUAUAUCAUCAAGUAAACUCAAUGAUAAAGUUUAACUAUUAAAGAUUGCAGACAGAAUGCCAAACAACUUACAAAAGAUAACUCAAAGAACACAAAGUAUUAUUGACUAGCAAGCAAAAUACUUGCGAAUGUAUCAUCUGAAGGAAAUAACAUCCCAAUCUAUCAGAACAAACUUGAGCAAUAAUCAACAGAAUAGAAUGAAUGUGGUAAGACUAACAAACACUCAUUCCUGCCAAUUAUCACAAAAGCUAAUCCAAAUAGAUCCCAGCCAACAACACCAAGGAACUCAAGUUGCCUAAGCAAGUGUCAGCAACAUCCUACUGAUGUCUCAAACCCAAGAGACCAAUCCAGAGCAAACCACAAAGAACAUGUGGUAUUGCGAAAAGCCAAAAGCCAUCAAAGAGAACAACUAACCACCAUAAAAGAUCAUCAAUCAUCCUAUCAAUAGAGAAAUGUAUAAUCAUUAUCGAAGAAAGAAUCUACUAUCCCGAAGAACAGCAAAUCAUUUUAUACCAACAAUAAUCAAGCAAAACCCUUGACAAGGAUAAUCAACUAUCUUAGAUGAUAGUCAAUCAUCACCAAUGAUUGCUAAAUGCAAAGACUAAUGUCAACAUCGAAACUAAUGAGCUAAAAUGCCUUCCCCCAACAACUCCUAACAAAUGGAACAAUGAGCAUGAAAACUCAAAUAACCAAAAGCUCGAAGAAGUCUAUAGCCAAAUCUUGCCUAAUAAUGAUCAUGAGUCUCGCAUGGACUAACGUCAAUGCUAAAGAAGAAAUCAUGGUACAACCCACAAUAUCCUCCUCAACACAUCUAUAAGCUAAACUUCAUAAUGCAAAGCUAAUGAAGAGCAUGUCUGCAUCAAUCCAAAAGCUAAGCAUAACAAAGCUAUGCUCAACAAGUGAUCAUCAAACAAUCCUCCAUGAAUCCAUCUAUAGCAAGACAUAACUCACAUCAUAACAAACACAAGAAGAAUCAUCAAUGAUCGAUAUAUUCCAACUCAAAUCCAAUAAGGAUUCAAAUAUUCCAAUAUCAAUCACUAACUCUUCAUCUCGUAAAGUUAGUGUUAUCCACGACUAAAUCACUUUUCAAGGAAAAGCUGAAGCUCAACCCCUAUUAAAUAACCUUGUUUAGAACACAACUAACUCAAACUUGCCACUCAGUUUAUUUGAACGUCAACACAGUUGCUAACUAGCAAAUGCAUGAAUGCUAAUAACACAAAGUUAUAGCCAAAUCAUCAAUGCUAUCUUUAUUAAGACUAAUGAAACUCGACAUCAAUCUUGUGGAGAGACAUUUCAUUUCACUGAAAUCUCAACAUCAACAAUGUCAACGACAAGGCAUCACUUCAGUGCCACCAACACUAGAACAAAGCUAGAAAAAAGCACGAGUGUAUCACCACUCAAAACUCUCUAGCAACCAAGCUAACCAAAGUCGGAGAUACUUUACUCAGUAUCCGAGACCAAUUUCUCAACAAUACUCAGGUACAGAUAACACUUCCUCAAGGAGUGAAUCACCACGUCCAAGACUCCAUGAAAUCCAACACUAUGAACUAAACGCAACCAAAUGAUAUCAACAGAGGUAGAGUCGACAUGCCAACAUGGAAAACCCAUGUAAGUCUAACGACAUGAUCCUCCGCAACCCCAUUCGGUAAAGCAAGCCCAUCACUGAUAAAUCUUCAUCGAGUGAAGCAAGUGUCAACAGUCCUUGGCAAAGUCUACAAGCAAUCACUAGUUGCCAAGCAACUAACCAUUACUUUUUUUUCAACUUGCUUUCAUGAGACCCAAACACUAAACUCACGUCAUUUAGUCAUACACUUGUCCAACAUGAACGUGAUACCUUCGGUAUGAGAUAAAAGUUCAUUGACAAGCACAAACUAAAUGACCACUCGAAUCCAACUCAACUGUAAUAAGCUCACUAAUGUAUUUAGCCACUAGCUCUGAGCAUGCCUUGAAGAGGCUAACUAUACGUAAUCAACACUUAGUCGAAACUAAAGUGAAGACCACGAGAUGGACUCAUGUUGGUACACAACCUCCUCAUAGACAAAGCUAAAAUGUGGGUACCAACACCUCAAACUCAAACAACUAAGUUGGACAUCACCAUCCUUAGCCAAGGCGCAGGGCCACCAAGACCAAGUCAAGAUCAGUGAGAGCUCACUACUCUCAUAGAGUCUAACGAAAUGCAAGAUGCAACCUGCCACCGAGCAUAAUGCUACAGAAGAAAGGCACAAGAGUCACCUUUCUAGAA
Molecule: long non-coding RNA, 32655 nt
Filed under: Selaginella moellendorffii
Lineage: Eukaryota; Viridiplantae; Streptophyta; Lycopodiopsida; Selaginellales; Selaginellaceae
Description: long non-coding RNA (SMOE_LNC001653)
Source: RNAcentral